This 504-nucleotide ribosomal RNA is filed under the name uncultured bacterium. Its description in RNAcentral is "partial 16S ribosomal RNA". It matches the Rfam family "Bacterial small subunit ribosomal RNA", at positions 29 to 507 of the family's 1533-position model. The record is from RNAcentral.
ACGAACGCUGGCGGCGUGCCUAAUACAUGCAAGUAGAACGCACAGUUUAUACCGUAGCUUGCUACACCAUAAACUGUGAGUUGCGAACGGGUGAGUAACGCGUAGGUAACCUGCCUGGUAGCGGGGGAUAACUAUUGGAAACGAUAGCUAAUACCGCAUAAUAUUAAUUAUUGCAUGAUAAUUGAUUGAAAGAUGCAAUUGCAUCACUACCAGAUGGACCUGCGUUGUAUUAGCUAGUAGGUGAGGUAACGGCUCACCUAGGCGACGAUACAUAGCCGACCUGAGAGUGUGAUCGUCCACACUGGGACUGAGACACGGCCCAGACUCCUACGGGAGGCAGCAGUAGGGAAUCUUCGGCAAUGGACGAAAGUCUGACCGAGCAACGCCGCGUGAGUGAAGAAGGUUUUCGGAUCGUAAAGCUCUGUUGUAAGAGAAGAACGGGUGUGAGAGUGGAAAGUUCACACUGUGACGGUAUCUUACCAGAAAGGGACGGCUAGCUACGUG